AAAAAAUAUGCAAUACUGAACCAUCCCUCAGAAAUACCUGUGACUUCUCAUGGGCUGUUCCCCCGACAUGUAAUGCUCUUCCAUUCUUCUCACCUCAGUGUACUCCUACUCAUGCUUCAAGACCCAACUCAAAUGCUCCCUUCUCUGUAAAGAAUUUCCUGACCUGACCUCUGAGCACUUGGCACAGAUCUCAGGUGUUGCCAUUCUGUGUUAGAGUUAUUUAAGGGUUUCCCCGGUUUUUAUUUGACCAUGAAUACCUGGAGGCAGGAAUUAGUUGAGGCUCAGGUCUAGAAUGAGAGGUAGUUUGUUGAAUGAUUACUUUGUGGAACGGGAAGCAGAAGAGAGUGGCCUAAGUUGGGUGCCAUCUUUGCAAGGGUCAAUUCUGGGGCUCUUCAUCCAGACAUGGCUGGGGUCAGUCAGCACUGACCGUGGCUUUGCUGUGUGCCUAAGCCAGGCCCGGCUGGCUGGGGGCAUGUGCAUGGCUGAGACCCCGUGACUUGUGCGAGGGUGUGCCUGUCCUAGCUCUGGGACAUCCUGGGAGGGGAAGGGACACUGGGGAAGCACUGUCAGCUGGUCCUGGGGGUACUUCUGGGAUAUGCCAACGAGCCUGCGGUUCAGGGGUCUCCCAACUCCCUGUCAUGGCUAUGGCUGCUGGUCAUGGUCAACGAAGUGAAGGCGGCUUCCCGAGGGAGCUCCGUGGUCUGCACUGACCUGACCAGCGGACCAGGCCACCCAGGCCAGCGCCGGCUAGUCAAGGGCGCCCUCUAGUGGCCGCCACAGCGGAGGCAGGAACCUGUCUCCACAAAGGCAGGGUUUUCAUGCAUUCCUGAAUACAGAACAAUUGUCACUAUGCCAAGCACAUGUCUUAACUUUAGUUAAAAUAUAUUUAUUAAUCAUCUGCUAAGCGGAGAGCUCUCUCCUGAAUGUCAGUAUGUGUUGGUGGGGAAGAGAGAAUGCAAGGUAGAGAAACAAUUACAGCAGUGAUUUGCUACCCAGUCUGCAAAGUAGAAUCACCUGGACAACUUGAAAAACUACCAACACCUGGGGCCCAUCCAGACCAAUUGAAUCUGAAUUUUUAGGGUGGGACACAGGCAUCAGUGGUUUGGACCGGGAAAAGUUAACAGGCAGCCAGGCAUGAGAACCACUGGUUUGGAGAGUUGACUAACAUAUUUCCCAUCCAUCAUUCUUAUCCAGCUGCCGAGGCAGGCGCUGUUCUCCCAUUUCACAGAUGAGGAGUCUGAGGCUCAAGUGACGCUACUUCUUUCUCUCUUUCAGUUAAGGACAGCAAUGGUACAGCGGGGAAGCAGCAAAUACUUCUACAAGGCUGUCUCAAGGCUGUAUCAUGAGAGUCUCUGUCUAAGAAGAGACUCUCAUGAUAACAAUAGCUUUAUUGUUUGCUGUGAUUAGAAAAGUACCCAAGGUCGUUGUGAAAUAGGGUCCCCCCCAGGAAAAUAAUUAUAAAGGCAAGAGUGGUGUGUACAAGAAUCACCUGCAAUCUCAGCAUGGCUAACAGUAUGUCUGAGAGCAAGCAGGGUAAGGAGAGGUGGGAGAGAGGAGGGGGAGAAUGGAUUUAUUUUAAGGCUCAGGGUCAUAUUGCAAAUCAGGGCUUCUGAACUAUGGUCCUAAGACGAGUCACAUCAAAACCCCCUGCCCUGCUUGAUAAAAAAGCAACAUCCCCAAGGCCACAGUAUCAGACUCUUGAGGAAGAUCCUGAGAAGGUGCACAUUUGAUAAACAUUCUGGGUGAUUCUUGCAUCCCCGAAAGAACAAGAACUACCACCACUUGGAGCUCUGCUCUUUUCAUUUAACAGUACAAGGUGAGCAUGUCAGUAGAAACCCAUCACUUCCAGAAGCUUAGGAGAGCCCUUGAGUACGGACUGAUGUGUUCAAAUGUAUUGAACCAGCUGCUGAGAUUUCAACCAGCUGCCCUUGGGGGUCUGGGCACACACCCCAUUUCGCACCGGCUGGCUAGGAGCCAGCAGCACAAACACCAGGGCUGCUCUGGCACCCUCCACCGGAAGGGGCCCUAGCACACCAACCCCCUGUCCACCUUCUUCCAUAGCUUGCAGCAACCUAUUAAUGGGUCCUGUCAACCAAUCACAGGCAGAAUAACCCAUGAUGUCACCAGCGGCCAAUCAGAGCUCCUGACCAGCAUAUGCAGAAUUCUGUCACUCUUACUGAGGUGAUGAAAUCCCAGAGCAACACCAUCCAAGACCCCGGGGCCUGGGCAGAGGCUCCCCCUUCCUGGGUAGCUCCUGGCACAGGUGUUGAAGCCCAGUUAAAACCACGCCCCCCACCCAAUUCUCCCUGCAAGACCUCAAAAGUCAGAAUACUGGUGGAGAAGAUCCAUCAACCUCUGGAUUUUAGGGCCAUGGUAGAGGGGUGUUGCCCUAAAUUCCAGCCUUGGUGGCAGCCCAGCACCCCCCAGGAAGGAAUUAGAGGGGCCCUGGCCAGGCUGUGCUGGUUGUUCCUUAUGAGCAGAUUAUGAGAAGGGACCAAGACAAGGGCUCCUUUGUGGAGGUCCUGGCUUAGGGAAUCAAGUGACUGCUCAGCACACACGUGGGCAGUGCCAGCCUCUAAGUGUGGACAGGGCACUGGCCACAGAGUCCCAGAGAGUCCCACCAGCCUAGUGGCCAGACCUUCCGUGGGAUCGCCAGACCAGACUGGAACCCCACUGACCCGAGCCCACCUGCUGCAGCCCAGUGCCUGGCCAUGACCAUCACCUACACAAGCCAAGUGGCUAAUGCCCGCUUGGGCUGCUUCUCCCGCCUGCUGCUGUGCUGGCGGGGCAGCAUCUACAAGCUGCUGUACGGCGAGUUCCUCAUCUUCUUGAUCUGCUACUACACUAUCCGCUUCCUUUACAGGCUGGCCCUCACAGAGGAACAGCAGCUGCUGUUCGAGAAGCUGACUCUGUACUGCGACAGCUACAUCCAGCUCAUCCCCAUUUCCUUCGUGCUGGGCUUCUACGUGACGCUGGUCGUGACCCGCUGGUGGAACCAGUACGAGAACCUGCCGUGGCCCGACCGCCUCAUGAGCCUGGUGUCGGGCUUCGUGGAGGGCAAGGACGAGCACGGGCGGCUGCUGCGGCGCACGCUCAUCCGCUACGCCAACCUGGGCAACGUGCUCAUCCUGCGCAGCAUCAGCACCGCCGUCUACAAGCGCUUUCCCAGCCUCCAGCACUUGGUGCAAGCAGGCUUUAUGACCCCCGUUGAACACAAGCGGUUCGAAAAAUUGAGCUUACCACACAACAUGUUCUGGGUGCCCUGGGUGUGGUUUGCCAACCUGACAAUGAAGGCCUGGCUUGACGGCCGAAUCCGGGACUCUAUUCUGCUCCAGAGCCUGCUAAACGAAAUGAACACCCUGCGUACUCAGUGUGGACACCUGUAUGCCUACGACUGGAUCAGUGUCCCAUUGGUGUACACACAGGUGGUGACUGUGGCAGUGUACAGCUUCUUCCUGGCUUGCCUUGUUGGGCGGCAGUUUCUGAACCCGGCCAAGUCCUACCCUGGCCACGAGCUGGACCUGGUCGUGCCCCUCUUCACAUUCCUACAGUUCUUCUUCUAUGUUGGCUGGCUGAAGGUGGCAGAGCAGCUCAUCAACCCUUUUGGAGAGGAUGAUGAUGAUUUUGAGACCAACUGGAUUGUCGACAGGAACUUACAGGUGUCCCUGUUGGCUGUGGAUGAGAUGCACCAGGAUCUGCCUCGGAUAGAGCGGGACAUGUAUUGGAAUGAGCCAGAACCACAGCCUCCCUACACAGCUGCUUCCGCCCAUUUCCGCCGACCCGCCUUUAUGGGCUCCACCUUCAACAUCAGCCUGCCCCAAGAAGAUAUGGAGUUCCAACCGAAUCAGGAGGAGGACGAGGACGAUGCUCACGCUGGCAUUAUAGUCCGCUUCCUAGGGCGGCAGUCCCAUGACCACUAUCCUCCCAGGACAAACUCAAAGACCAAACUACUAUGGCCCAAGGAGUCCUUUCUCCAUGAGGGCCAGCCCAAGAACCCCAAGGGGGCCAAACAGAACCUUAACGGCCAGGAAGACAGCAAGGCCUGGAAGCUUAAGGCGGUGGACACCUUCAAGUCCGCUCCACUGUAUCAGAGGCCAGGCUACUACAGUGCCCCCCAGACGCCCCUCAGCCCCACACCCAUGGUCUUCCCCCCUGAACAAUCAGAACCCCGAGGGCUUCACAGUGUUGCAGGCAUAGAUACCAAAGAUAAAAGCCUAAAGCUUGAGACUUCAGGGGACAAGAACAGUUUUGAAUUGCUUUCAGAAGGUGAUAAGGCCUUGGUGGAGCAACCAGAAGCAUCUCGUGUGAGGAGAAAAACUGUGGAGUUUAACCUGACAGAUAUGCCGGAAAUCCCUGAACAUCUCAAAGAACCACAUUUGGACCAGUCAGCAACCAACAUACACACUAUUCUCAAAGAUCGUGCGGAUCCUUACUGGGCCUUGGAAAACAGAUUCCUUGGACAUUUUCACCCAACUGGAAACACUCUACCUCACCUCAAAUCAUAAUGUGGGGAGGAAGUGUAACUUCCCAUUUCUAGUUUUCAAGAAGUUACUUUUGUGGUCAGAACACAGCUAUCGUGAUUGAAAACUUGAAGGAGCAACAAUUUCAGUCUUGCUUCUUCAGCUAGACAGGAACUUUGGAUGAAGCACAUUCCUAACCUGCUUCCUAAGGGGGACACUUCACCGGCCUGGUCCUCACCUGCAUGUACACUAACAGGACACUGAUCCGGUCACAGCCAUACAGCUGUCCACACUGAAGAGUAUGUUCCUCCGACAGCCUGAAUUAAACGGUUAGCUAAAUGGUUAACAAAAAUCAGUAGUCCAGGACUACUUCAGCCUUUAAAUGCCUUUUAUACAUAAAAACUGUGAAAGCUAGAAUACAUGCAAUUCAGAAUCAGGAGUCCUACAGGAGUCCUUAGUCCUGGUCUGAAUUCAACACAGCCACACCUUUGUUUAUCUUUUUCAAACUAGAAGAGUUUAAUAAAUACAAAUAUUCUCCUAA
Microcebus murinus (gray mouse lemur) is the source of this 5001-nucleotide non-coding RNA. NCBI's taxonomy places the organism in Eukaryota, Metazoa, Chordata, Mammalia, Primates, Cheirogaleidae. The record is from RefSeq and is a predicted model, not a curated record.